CUUCAUUCCCGUUUAUGAAUCCCGGAGCUUUAAGAAUGAAGCCGCCAGCAGCGCCAGGGCAUUUCCGUCAAAUCCGAAAAACGUUACGACGAAUCUGUAGGAACUGGAGGACGCAGGACAAUGAAUCGGUCAGAACCAGAACUCAGGUUCCUAACCCUGGUUCUGGUGUACCCUCUCUCCUGCAGGUUAGUGUCUCCUUCAACUGUUAAUUAAACACCAACACGUGCAGGACACAGGAUCCUCCAGGACCGGGGUUCAAAUACACGCUCAAAUACAGUCUUCCUGACCAACACACUUGAUCCAACUCAAUAGCUGAUGAGCAGAAAAUCCUACAGAAUGUGUUGCACAGUUAGCCCCUAGGACUGACAAGUUCUAGAGAGCAAACAGGGAAUAAGUAACAACCUUCAACACCAGUAAACACAAGUAUAUAUUUAUUUAAUGCAAUUUACAAAAGCAAAUGUUUUCUGGCUUUUAAUCAGCUGUAUCCUACAUCCCUUUCUCCAUCAGCCAGGAGUGCAACCCCUGGAAAUGAGUGGACCCAGAACAAGUACACUUCUCCAAUUGUGAUGUACAGAAAGUGCUAUCAGACUACCAAGGUUUUUUUGCGAUGAAUCCUCAAUGUUGACAUUUUAGUGAGCACCAUUGCUGUUCAAAGAGGGGACAAACAUGAUUCCCAAAAUACAAAAAUUACAGUUGUCCUUUAAACAGUUCAAAUACACAUUUUAAUUUUGUAAUUGCUUACAAGUUUAUAAUACAUUAUUCUUUUGAGAGAGUGGACAUUGAAAAUGAGCAUUUCUUUCUACAUGGACAAUUAAGAGCAGAUACUUUUGGUAGCAACUGUGAAUUCACAAUUGAGUACAGCGUACGUUGCCACUUGCAGUAAGUUUUUACAUG
Pangasianodon hypophthalmus (striped catfish) is the source of this 894-nucleotide long non-coding RNA. RefSeq lists it as uncharacterized. The record is from RefSeq and is a predicted model, not a curated record. NCBI's taxonomy places the organism in Eukaryota, Metazoa, Chordata, Actinopteri, Siluriformes, Pangasiidae. The transcript has 2 exons.